RNAcentral lists this ribosomal RNA (417 nucleotides) under uncultured beta proteobacterium. RNAcentral describes it as "bacterial SSU rRNA". It matches the Rfam family "Bacterial small subunit ribosomal RNA", at positions 9 to 429 of the family's 1533-position model. Lineage: Bacteria; Pseudomonadati; Pseudomonadota; Betaproteobacteria. The record is from RNAcentral.
GAGUUUGAUCAUGGCUCAGAUUGAACGCUGGCGGCAUGCCUUACACAUGCAAGUCGAGCGGCAGCGCGGGGGCAACCCUGGCGGCGAGCGGCGAACGGGUGAGUAAUACAUCGGAACGUGUCCUGUCGUGGGGGAUAACCAGUCGAAAGAUUGGCUAAUACCGCAUGACCUCGUAAGAGAAAAGCGGGGGACCGUAAGGCCUCGCGCGACUGGAGCGGCCGAUGUCGGAUUAGCUAGUUGGCGGGGUAAAAGCCCACCAAGGCGACGAUCCGUAGCUGGUUUGAGAGAACGACCAGCCACACUGGGACUGAGACACGGCCCAGACUCCUACGGGAGGCAGCAGUGGGGAAUUUUGGACAAUGGGGGCAACCCUGAUCCAGCCAUGCCGCGUGUGUGAAGAAGGCCUUCGGUUGUAAG